This is a long non-coding RNA of Astatotilapia calliptera (eastern happy), 3583 nucleotides long. The record is from Ensembl. Lineage: Eukaryota; Metazoa; Chordata; Actinopteri; Cichliformes; Cichlidae.
AGGGGUCAUCUCAACUUUUCUCCAUUCGGUGCGGGGGCUGCCCUCUAAAACAGCGAGGGGGGCACAGGGGGUGGGCUCGCUGUGAGCCCUCGUGCACAUGUAGGGAUGUGACUCUCUCUGGCAUCACUGCAUCAUCGCUGUUCACCGGUGUUUCGCUUUCUUGAUCACCUUCAUCACUGUGUUCCAGCGGCUACGUCUGUCCAACGGGGAUGAGAGCGCCGCCCUUGGAGAGCUUCUGCGAUGGCGGCGAUUGCAGUGUGAGGGGCGGAGUGACUGGAAGCGCCGCCCACCUAAGUCCCCACCCCUGCCCCCCACGCCCACCUAAGUCCCCACCCCUGCCCCCCACACUGCUCUGGACCAACAGGAAGGCCCCUCCAUGAUGGAGGUUUUCUGAUAAAGUCACAUACGUUGGCUAUGAAGUUCCUCCCUCUUUCUUCAGCCACACUUCCACGAGCUUUUCAAUUUUAUUCGUUUCCCUUUUUUUUGUUUGUUUUUGAUCUGUUAACCUCUGUCCCCAUUGACUAAGCUGAAGCUCCAAGAAUGAGCCUAGUCCGUGGGGUGAAGGUCCUGCUUUUUCCCUUUGCACUCAACUGUGGGGGAUUCCCUUACUUAUGUGAUAGAAACUCAGCACCAUGUGACAGCUAACUGAUACUAACUGAUAUCCAUGAAAAAUGACUGCAAAGCAGAAAAAGAAUAGAUGCGGGAUAGUCUGUGAUGACAUAUAUGAUCAAAAAGAGAAAAACACUGACUUGUCUAUUUAUUUUCAGCUCUUCUAAGAUGAAAUGACUGACGCUGAUCAAUAGGAGGCUUACAAGCAAAGUAGUUGACCUGGGGUUUAGAUGCCGAAUGGCCAUCUGAUUUGGAUCGUAUGGCCUCAUAAGAUGAGCUGCUGUAUUAAAAUGAGCUCCACUCUAAAACCCGGUGCUGAUUAUACUUGACGUGCUGUGAUGUUCCCGUGUGAUGCUUUCUCAUAUGUGCACACCUCAGAAAGUCUCAGAAAGUUUACAAGUCAACCAACGCCUCUGGAGACCUUCAGUUUUGAACAACACUUUACUGGCUUAGACAUGGGACCUUUUUCAGGUACACAGCUCUCAUUUAGCGUCUCAUGUGUGGGCUCUAAGUGCUACUGCAGCCCUGGCAGCAAGGGGCCCGGGGUCAGGGUAACCUCAGUAUUAUCCCAAGGUGCACUUCUCUUCCCCCUUGUUACCACCAGCCUGUGAGAAAGCCCUCUGGCCAAUCCUAAACUACUGCACUUACCUUUACUAGGAGACGGGGAUCCAACUAAUGAGCAUACUUUGGCUUUAUGUAUAAAGGUAAAGCUGAGAUUUUAAAAAAAGAAAAGAAAAAAAAAGCUUUAGCCGAUAGGUAUUUAGUUCAUGUUCUGAACAUGAAACUCUGUGCCAAAGUGAUACAAUGUGUGAAAGCUAUAUCUAAACUAACAAGUAUAGUUAUUAAAACUGAUGCGUACGGUAGUCUCCUUAUGCUUGUAUACUGUAUGUACAGACUGACAAAUGACCAAAUCAUAGCUGUUGUUGCAGUUCACUGGUGAUCCUGUGUGGACUAAAAACAUUAAAAAGUGUUUAAAAUGGGUAUAAAACUGUUCACACUCUUAACGUGUCUCAUCAGCAUCUGAACAGGUUAAUGCGUUUUUCAGGAGACCUCACGCACAGAUGAACCUGAUUAUUGUACAGAUCCCUACUUCGUUGUUGUGUCCUCGCAGGCGCCUAUUUUUUACCUUCUCUGUCCUGUCCUCAUCUUCUUUUCCUUUCCCGUACUUGACCCAAAACAAACAGACCCCCUUGCCCUUUCCCCUACUUGACCCACCCCACCUCCUCCAGUGGAUCAAACCGGCUUUACGGGUGUUUCCAUGGUAGCCACAGUGUAAAUAGUGAAUGGUGUCAUAUGUUUUAGCUUUUACUAUAGAAGAAAAGCACGGCGGUUGACCUUGAAGAUGAAAGACAAGGAUGAGUAUAUAAUACUGUGUAUGGUGAAACUGAGAUUGAAGAAUGUCUCGGGUUAGAUGCAAUGCUGAGAGAAAGAGGUCUAUUUUAAGAUGUGAAUAUCUUUUCUUUUUUUUCUUUUUUUUAGAACGACUGUCUACGGUUAUGAAAAUUCGUUUAUACUCUAUUUAAUGAUUUGUUUAUUCCCCUUCGACCCCAUUGUUCUGCUCCCUGAUGCAAUGCAGAUGUUCUAAAUGUAUAUGGAUGUUUUAUUGCACAAUGUUUAUGUGGUGUUGUGUUGACCUCUGUAAUGGGCUGGGUGUGUCUAGACAAGGUGUUCGAUCUUUAAAGAUCCAGUCUGAAUUGUUAGAGCCUCCAAGUAUCAAUAGCUCUAAUAGAUUUCUCAUUCCCACUGAUCACCCACAAGGCAUUUAAAUUGGUUCAGAAUUGCAAAUUAGCAGCGCCAUCGCAGGAUCGAUUUCGGUUGUUGUCGGCGUGCGAAGGUGCACAAAUAUUCAAGAGCCCGUUGAAGGCGAACUUGCCCAGUUGUGUUUUGGUCUGACUGGCUGAAUGUACAAAUGCAAAAUUUUUAUUCCACCAUCCUGUGCACAUCUUUGAAUCUCUUUGUAUCUUAUUACCGGAACAUGCGCCUGAAUCAAAACAGUGUACCUAACUGCUUAAUGUGAUUAUUGUCUUCAGAAGUUGUGUAUGCAGUUCAUUUUUUUUCAAGCAAGUAUAAGGUAUUGAUUUGCCCCAUAUAUCACACCUUGUGCACUGUGAUUUGGGGCUGCAUGAGCACUGCAAUGGAGAAAUAUAUCAAACAUUUUCACACAAGUAGUUGUGUGUUUCAUCUGCGAUCAAACAAAAGACAGGAACCAAGACUAAGCUCGUCAACCUUGCUAAUGCCAUUGAAAGAAUUUCUAGCUUUGGUAUUUAUCCUUCAGUAUAAUCAGAGUUAUGGUUGGUCGUGUGCAGUUUUGUGUAUACUUAUGUUUAUGGAAGUCAUGAAAUGAGGACAUUUUUAAAUUGUAUUUUAAAGCAUAUCAGUGGUUUUUACCUUGCAUGACCACAUGUUGGGUGUCCUCCCCGUAUAACAUGCUCGUGCAGAAAAGAUAAAGGCUGUCUAAUGUGAAGAACUGCUUCCCUCUGCACUGUGAAUCACUCCACUGUCCCCCACUGUCUCGGCUAAACACAUCAUCCAUCCAUAUCCACAUAAACCCAUCUGCUAAUAUGUCCACUUCAUCACAUACAAAUCUUGAUGAAUUCGCUCACUCUGAAGUAAGCUCCGGCAGCCAAAAUACUGCCAGUCAUAUUCGUUAGCCAGGAAUCUAUAAAUCCUCUGCUCUGAGAUCACCUCUCUGGUGCUACUGCCAGUGUACAAUGGCCAUCUAUUGUCUCCAGUCCACUUAUAGUUGUCCAGAGAGACAUGAUAUUUCAGCACUGCCUUUCAUAUUGUUGUUGUUGUUGUUGUUUUUUUUUUUAUUGUAAUCUUUCUUUUGUACAUGACAUACAGUAUAUUUUAAUCUGCAUACAUAUGUGUUUGUGGAAAGAAAAAAAUUAUUGUGAUAUUUCAGAAUUAUUAUGUUCCCAAUUUUUUAAGUACUGUACUUGUACAGCAAUAAAGCACAAUUGUGUCAAUGCGA